UUCCCCUGCCUGGAUUGCGUGAUGGGUGGCUGACCUCGUGCCCGAUAGCUGUACCCAGGGGUCCCGAUGUUCCUGUGGUGUGCAAGCCCCCGCCCCGCUCUGCGGGGCUCCGGGGAAGCCUGAAGCAGGACAAAAGGGUCCCCACCUGCCAUAGCGCAGGGCACCACCGAAGCUGCCCACACGGCCGAGGCGGGGGUUUU
This 200-nucleotide non-coding RNA is filed under the name Deltaproteobacteria bacterium. Its description in RNAcentral is "6S RNA". It matches the Rfam family "6S / SsrS RNA". From Rfam's summary of the family: E. coli 6S RNA was the first non coding RNA to be sequenced, but its function was unknown until recently. Lineage: Bacteria; Pseudomonadati; Myxococcota; Myxococcia. The record is from RNAcentral.